AGAGAGCGGCGUACGGGUGCGGAACACGUGUGCAACCUGCCUUUAUCAGGGGGAUAGCCUUUCGAAAGGAAGAUUAAUACCCCAUAAUAUAUUGAUUGGCAUCAUUUAAUAUUGAAAACUCCGGUGGAUAGAGAUGGGCACGCGCAAGAUUAGAUAGUUGGUGAGGUAACGGCUCACCAAGUCAGUGAUCUUUAGGGGGCCUGAGAGGGUGAUCCCCCACACUGGUACUGAGACACGGACCAGACUCCUACGGGAGGCAGCAGUGAGGAAUAUUGGACAAUGGGUGAGAGCCUGAUCCAGCCAUCCCGCGUGAAGGACGACGGUUCUAUGGAUUGUAAACUUCUUUUAUACUGGGAUAAACCUACCCUCGUGAGGGUAGCUGAAGGUACAGUAUGAAUAAGCACCGGCUAACUCCGUGCCAGCAGCCGCGGUAAUACGGAGGGUGCAAGCGUUAUCCGGAUUUAUUGGGUUUAAAGGGUCCGUAGGCGGAUCUGUAAGUCAGUGGUGAAAUCUCAUAGCUUAACUAUGAAACUGCCAUUGAUACUGCAGGUCUUGAGUAAAGUAGAAGUGGCUGGAAUAAGUAGUGUAGCGGUGAAAUGCAUAGAUAUUACUUAGAACACCAAUUGCGAAGGCAGGUCACUAUGUUUUAACUGACGCUGAUGGACGAAAGCGUGGGGAGCGAACAGGAUUAGAUACCCUGGUAGUCCACGCCGUAAACGAUGCUAACUCGUUUUUGGGUUUUCGGAUUCAGAGACUA
This 757-nucleotide ribosomal RNA is filed under the name Chryseobacterium sp. RNAcentral describes it as "bacterial SSU rRNA". It matches the Rfam family "Bacterial small subunit ribosomal RNA", at positions 90 to 849 of the family's 1533-position model. The record is from RNAcentral. Lineage: Bacteria; Pseudomonadati; Bacteroidota; Flavobacteriia; Flavobacteriales; Weeksellaceae.